GACGAACGCUGGCGGCGUGCCUAAUACAUGCAAGUAGAACGCUGAAGAGAGGAGCUUACUUUUCUUGGAUGAGUUGCGAACGGGUGAGUAAUGCGUAGGUAACCUGCCUUGUAGCGGGGGAUAACUAUUGGAAACGAUAGCCAAUACCGCACAACAAUGGAUGACACAUGGCAUUUAUUUGAAAGGGGCAAUUGCUCAACUACAAGAUGGACCUCAGUUGUAUUAGCUAGUAGGUGAGGUAAUGGCUCACCUAGGCGACGAUACAUAGCCGACCCGAGAAGGUGGUCGACUCACCUGGGACUGAGACACGGCCCAGACUCCUUCGGGAGGCAGCAGGAGGGAAUUUUUGGAAAUGGGGGCAACGCUGACCGAGCAACGGCGGGUGAGUGAAGAAGGUUCUCGGAUCGGAAAGCUCUGUUGUAAGGGAAGAACGGGUGUGAGGGUGGAAAGUUCGCACUGUGACGGUAGCUUAACAGAAAGGGACGGCUAACUACGUG
Molecule: ribosomal RNA, 497 nt
Filed under: uncultured bacterium
Lineage: Bacteria
Description: partial 16S ribosomal RNA
Rfam family: Bacterial small subunit ribosomal RNA
Source: RNAcentral